This 253-nucleotide ribosomal RNA is filed under the name uncultured bacterium. RNAcentral's name for it is "partial 16S ribosomal RNA". It matches the Rfam family "Bacterial small subunit ribosomal RNA", at positions 524 to 776 of the family's 1533-position model. The record is from RNAcentral.
UACGGAGGGGGCUAGCGUUGUUCGGAAUUACUGGGCGUAAAGCGCACGUAGGCGGCUUUGUAAGUUAGAGGUGAAAGCCCGGAGCUCAACUCCGGAACUGCCUUUAAGACUGCAUCGCUAGAAUUGUGGAGAGGUGAGUGGAAUUCCGAGUGUAGAGGUGAAAUUCGUAGAUAUUCGGAAGAACACCAGUGGCGAAGGCGACUCACUGGACACAUAUUGACGCUGAGGUGUGAAAGCGUGGGGAGCAAACAGG